RNAcentral lists this ribosomal RNA (200 nucleotides) under uncultured prokaryote. RNAcentral describes it as "partial 16S ribosomal RNA". It matches the Rfam family "Bacterial small subunit ribosomal RNA", at positions 1182 to 1382 of the family's 1533-position model. The record is from RNAcentral.
AUGUCAAAUCAUCAUGCCCCUUACGCCUUGGGCUUCACACGUGCUACAAUGGUCGUUACAAAGUGAUGCAAGACUGCGAAGUGGAGCGAACCACAAAAAACGGCCCCAGUUCGGAUUGUAGGCUGCAACUCGCCUGCAUGAAGUUGGAAUCGCUAGUAAUCGCGAAUCAGCAUGUCGCGGUGAAUACGUUCCCGGGCCUU